UACGGAGGGUGCAAGCGUUAUCCGGAUUCACUGGGUUUAAAGGGUGCGUAGGUGGGCAGGUAAGUCAGUGGUGAAAUCUCCGAGCUUAACUCGGAAACUGCCAUUGAUACUAUCUGUCUUGAAUAUCCUGGAGGUGAGCGGAAUAUGUCAUGUAGCGGUGAAAUGCUUAGAUAUGACACAGAACACCGAUUGCGAAGGCAGCUAGCUAGACCGACAUUGACGCUGAGGCACGAAAGCGUGGGGAUCAAACAGG
RNAcentral lists this ribosomal RNA (253 nucleotides) under uncultured bacterium. RNAcentral's name for it is "partial 16S ribosomal RNA". It matches the Rfam family "Bacterial small subunit ribosomal RNA", at positions 524 to 776 of the family's 1533-position model. The record is from RNAcentral.